AACGCACCUUGCACUCUAUGGUAUUCCGUAGAGUACGCCAGUUUCAGUGUCAUGAAAACAAUCAACCUUGCCUUUGGUUUGUUCCUUGGGCUCGGCUUGGAUCUGGGCGUUUGCCGGCCUCUCGGUCGGCUCGCCUCAAAUGCAUUAGCUGGACUUGUCUUGAACCGGUUCUACUUGGCGUAAUAAGUAUUUCGCUGAGGACAUCCGCUUCGGCGGUGGCCGGAUCGAGUCAAUCGUCUGCUUUCCAACCCUCUCUUUGGAGAACACUUUAUCAUCUGUCCUGAAAUCUGGUGGGAUUACCCGCUGAACUUAA
RNAcentral lists this unclassified non-coding RNA (313 nucleotides) under Cladophialophora sp. RNAcentral describes it as "partial contains 5.8S ribosomal RNA, internal transcribed spacer 2, and large subunit ribosomal RNA". The record is from RNAcentral. Lineage: Eukaryota; Fungi; Ascomycota; Eurotiomycetes; Chaetothyriales; Herpotrichiellaceae.